GACGAACGCUGGCGGCGUGCUUAACACAUGCAAGUCGAACGGAAAGGCCCUGCUUCUGCGGGGUGCUCGAGUGGCGAACGGGUGAGUAACAUGUGAGUAACCUGCCCUUGACUUUGGGAUAACUUCAGGAAACUGGGGUUAAUACCGGUUAGUAGCUCUUGCUGCAUGGUGGGGGUUGGAAAGUUUCGGCGGUUGGGGAUGGACUCGCGGAUUAUCAGCUUGUUGGUGGGGUAGUGGCUUACCAAGGCUUUGACGGGUAGCCGGCCUGAGAGGGUGACCGGCCACAUGGGGACUGAGAUACGGGCCGGACUCCUACGGGAGGCAGCAGUAGGGAAUAUUGCACAAUGGGCGGAAGCCUGAUGCAGCAACGCCGCGUGCGGGAUGACGGCCUUCGGGUAGUAAACCGCUUUCGCCUGUGACGAAGCGUGAGUGACGGUAAUGGAUAAAGAAGCACCGGCUAACUACGUG
This 468-nucleotide ribosomal RNA is filed under the name uncultured bacterium. RNAcentral describes it as "partial 16S ribosomal RNA". It matches the Rfam family "Bacterial small subunit ribosomal RNA", at positions 28 to 507 of the family's 1533-position model. The record is from RNAcentral.